CUACGGGCCGCUGCAGCUAAGAAUCUUCCGCAAUGGGCGAAAGCCUGACGGAGCGACGCCGCGUGGGUGAUGAAGGCCGAGAGGUUGUAAAGCCCUUUUCUGCUUGAGGAAUAAGCAUCGGAGGGAAUGCCGGUGUGAUGACGGUAGGGCAGGAAUAAGCCCCGGCUAAUUACGUGCCAGCAGCCGCGGUAACACGUAUGGGGCGAGCGUGUUCGGAAUCAUUGGGCGUAAAGGGCGUGUAGGCGGAAAUGCAAGUCUGGUGUGAAAGACCGCAGCUUAACUGCGGGACCGCGCUGGAAACUGCAUAUCUUGAGUUCCGGAGGGGGGGUUGGAAUUCCUGGUGUAGGGGUGAAAUCUGUUGAUAUCAGGAAGAACAUCGGUGGCGAAGGCGAACUCCUGGACGAGAACUGACGCUGAGGCGCGAAAGCGUGGGGAGCGAACAGGAUUAGAUACCCCAGUAGUC
This 463-nucleotide ribosomal RNA is filed under the name uncultured bacterium. RNAcentral describes it as "partial 16S ribosomal RNA". It matches the Rfam family "Bacterial small subunit ribosomal RNA", at positions 339 to 795 of the family's 1533-position model. The record is from RNAcentral.